This 462-nucleotide ribosomal RNA is filed under the name uncultured bacterium. RNAcentral describes it as "partial 16S ribosomal RNA". It matches the Rfam family "Bacterial small subunit ribosomal RNA", at positions 28 to 507 of the family's 1533-position model. The record is from RNAcentral.
GAUAAACGCUGGCGGCGUGCUUAACACAUGCAAGUCGAACGAAGUUUUUCUUUCGGGAGGAACUUAGUGGCGGACGGGUGAGUAACGCGUGGGUAACCUGCCCUGUACAGGGGGACAACAGCUGGAAACGGCUGCUAAUACCGCAUAAGCCCUUAGCACUGCAUGGUGCAUAGGGAAAAGGAGCAAUCCGGUACAGGAUGGACCCGCGUCUGAUUAGCCAGUUGGCAGGGUAACGGCCUACCAAAGCGACGAUCAGUAGCCGAUCUGAGAGGAUGUACGGCCACAUUGGGACUGAGACACGGCCCAGACUCCUACGGGAGGCAGCAGUGGGGAAUAUUGCACAAUGGAGGAAACUCUGAUGCAGCGACGCCGCGUGAGUGAAGAAGUAUUUCGGUAUGUAAAGCUCUAUCAGCAGGAAAGAAAAUGACGGUACCUGACUAAGAAGCGCCGGCUAAAUACGUG